CAAUAGCGUAUAUUAAAGUUGUUGCGGUUAAAAAGCUCGUAGUUGGAUUUCUGUUGAGAACGUCCGGUCCGCACUAUGUGCGUGUAUCUGGUUCGGUCUUGGCAUCCUCUUGAGGAACGUAUCUGCGCUUGAUUGCAUGGAGCGGUAUUCAAGACUUUUACUUUGAGGAAAUUAGAGCGUUCACGGCAGGCAAGCGCCUUGAAUACGUUAGCAUGGAAUAAUAAUAUAGGAUCUUGGUUCUAUUUUGUUGGUUUCUAGGGCUAAGGUAAUGAUUAAUAGGGAUAAUUGGGGGCAUUUGUAUUAACGCGUCAGAGGUGGAAUUCUUGGAUUGCGUUACGACAAACUACUGCGAAAGCAUUUGCCAAGGAUGUUUUCAUUGA
Molecule: ribosomal RNA, 380 nt
Filed under: uncultured eukaryote
Lineage: Eukaryota
Description: partial 18S ribosomal RNA
Rfam family: Eukaryotic small subunit ribosomal RNA
Source: RNAcentral